MicroRNA precursor from Lasius niger, 89 nucleotides. Lineage: Eukaryota; Metazoa; Arthropoda; Insecta; Hymenoptera; Formicidae. The record is from Rfam.
GUCCAGCGGCCCUGGAUGGGUUUGAAUUCAGUCCACGUUUCAUGAUAGAUAUGCGUGACUAGAUCCACACUCAUCCAAGGAUACUGGAC